CAGUGAAAAGCCAAACUAGAGGCAUUUAACUGUUAAUUAAAAAAUUGUAAUAUUUAUUACUUCGCUGG
RNAcentral lists this transfer RNA (68 nucleotides) under Chiroteuthis picteti. RNAcentral's name for it is "tRNA-Asn". The record is from RNAcentral. Lineage: Eukaryota; Metazoa; Mollusca; Cephalopoda; Oegopsida; Chiroteuthidae.